AUCAUGUUGGCUAAAAUCUGAAGAUGUGUUCAAUCUCUCCAAGCUAGAAAGCAAAUUUUUAUCAAGACGAGAAGCUUGUUGCAUCACACAACCUUGGAAUCUAAACAACAAUCUACUUUUCAGUAUAAAAUACUUCAGACUGGGAAGUGGGGGGCAAGUGUUAGACCAUAUUUGGUCUAUCCAAUGACAUUUCUGAUUUUUGGGUAUAUGGCGGACACUUGACAUCAUGACGAGGAUAGCCCAAGACACGUGCUCUAUGCAGCAGCAAUGUCAUUGGCACACGACCGACUACAUGAGGUCGGCACUUAGAUGAAGUCAGAGCCAUCGACUUUUGGCCGACUGGCCUCAUCUCCACCACAGAUCUCUACAAGCUAUGCUGUGAUAUUCUUAUAAACUAGCCUAUAGAUCGAGAACCACGGACAACCAUUGGCGCACGAACAAGGAUGAGUUAGCUUUCUGUUGCAAUGGCCCACUACUUUCUUAGAUAUGGACAUCUGGC
This 499-nucleotide long non-coding RNA is filed under the name Elaeis guineensis (African oil palm). Its description in RNAcentral is "long non-coding RNA (EGUI_LNC033267)". Lineage: Eukaryota; Viridiplantae; Streptophyta; Magnoliopsida; Arecales; Arecaceae. The record is from RNAcentral.